AGCUAAAUUAUUAACUCAGUAAUUGAAGAGUUUUAAUAAAGGAUAAUCUUCCAAGCUUUUGUUCUUACCAUAUUUCUUCAUUUUUAGCUGCAAAUUUGAAAGGCUAAUUUACUAUAAUUGGAUAAUUUUUUUUUUCCCUGAAAAAUAAGCAUAUGAUGUCCCUCCUGGAUCUUAAUGUUUUCUGUUUGUCUCACCAUUUUGAAAUGUUCAAAGUUCUUUCCCAAAUAUCACCAUAGAAAAUGAUAUACAUUUAUAAUUUGUUAAAAUAAAUGAUAUUUUUCCCACAUUGAAACUUAUAAGGUGGACGUCUUAGGCCUCCAACUUGUAAGUCCAUGUUAAAACAAAAUUCUUCUUGGCCUCUUAUCACUCAUUGCCUGCUUAUUUUGCUUAUGCUGUUACUCUGCUUUCCACGUGUUACCAUCUUCUGCACUUGAUGCAUAUUUCAUUUCCAUUGAUAGGUGUGACUUUCCUUUCGUAUGCUAUGGUUCUUCCACAAUUUUAUGAUACAUUCCCUUCAUGUUGUAUUGUAUUAACUCAAAAUUCACAUACUUUAAACUGCAGGUUCAUUAAUUAAGAAUGAAUUCUGCCAACUUCCGUUUAUGUAACCUUUACAUCAACAGCAGCAUGGCAGGUAAUUCCUUCUAACUUUAGAUGUAGGCAUGGCUGCAAUAUGUGAAAACAAUUACUUGCAAAGCCAGUGUUCAAUUGAGGAUUAACAGACCUUAUGAUUAUAUAGUCGUUGAUAAUUUGAUGUCCACACCAUCAGCUAUUCCAAUAAGCCCCAAAAUAUUCAUUUAACCCUUCAUUUGCUGUUCGUUGGGUAAUUUACUUUUUCUGGCAAUAGCAAGCUCUUUUUCCUAUCCAAUGUUUUCUAAAACUAGUACUUCCUGAAAUUGAAGUUUCUAUAUUCCUUUUAGUCCAUGUUUGACUGGCUCAAGUUUUUAGCAAAGUGAAUGCAUAUAGUCCAUCAAAUGAAGAUAUGAUAUUUAUACUCACUUUGAUUUACUUAGAACUAGGCACAGGAAUGUAUUUUCCUUAAGCAUUUUAAGUUUGCAUUGUCCACCUUUAGUAAGACUUUACAAUAUUAUAUGAUUUCUUGAGACAGAUGACAGGAAUGAUGCGGAUACAAAUGCAGAUUUUUAGUAAGAACGAGUUUACAGCACCAAGAAAGAGAAACGGCCAUCUUCAUUAACUUGUUUUCUAUGGA
Molecule: unclassified non-coding RNA, 1207 nt
Filed under: Hevea brasiliensis (rubber tree)
Lineage: Eukaryota; Viridiplantae; Streptophyta; Magnoliopsida; Malpighiales; Euphorbiaceae
Source: RNAcentral